UUUAUAUAAAGCGCCAGAACCGCACUGAGUGAAUCGGUUGACGAGGAUGAGGAGUAUCGAAAAUUCGGCGGAUGCCUCACGGUGGAUAAGCACCAUCGACAAUUGGAUUUUAAAACCGCAGAGUAAUCUGCGAACAAAGAAU
This 142-nucleotide non-coding RNA is filed under the name bovine gut metagenome. Its description in RNAcentral is "glmS glucosamine-6-phosphate activated ribozyme". It matches the Rfam family "glmS glucosamine-6-phosphate activated ribozyme aptamer". From Rfam's summary of the family: This entry contains a glucosamine-6-phosphate activated ribozyme that is found in the mRNA for GlmS. GlmS is an enzyme that uses fructose-6-phosphate and glutamine to generate glucosamine-6-phosphate. The record is from RNAcentral.